RNAcentral lists this long non-coding RNA (2721 nucleotides) under Daucus carota (carrot). RNAcentral's name for it is "long non-coding RNA (DCAR_LNC001034)". The record is from RNAcentral. Lineage: Eukaryota; Viridiplantae; Streptophyta; Magnoliopsida; Apiales; Apiaceae.
ACUCUUUUCAGCUCCCCCCAAAAUUUCACUAACUCCCUCGAUUCACCUCACCCUCACACCCCCGAUCCUCUGCUCACUUCACAAAUAUCACACAUCACAGCUCUUAAUCACCGAUCUCACUGGUCCCUUCAUCCCGAUUCUCAGCUCACAUAUGGAUAUUCAUCUUGAUCUUAGAUUAAUCAAGGGUUUAAUCUCAUGGGUUUUCUUCAAAUUGCUUUUAAUUACUAAUAACUUCUUCUAAUUUAUCUUAUUUGUGUCGAUUUGGUUUGCACAUCUCCAUUUUUGUGUGUGUUUAGGGUUUUUACAAUUUCUUAAGAUUAGGGCUUAUAAUUGGGGCUUGAAAUCAAGAUAAAUGGGGUUGUAUUUUGGGGGUUUAGUUGAUUUAUUUUAGAUAUUUCGAUUUAUAUAUAGUAUUUAUUUGCUGAUAUUUUUGGUUUUGUAGAAACUAAAAGAUCUGAGGCUUUUGUUCUUUCCUGUUUCAGUUCUGUGCGAGCUCUAUGAUCUCAAGUUAAUUUGUUUGCAUUAAGGUGUAUCAUGUAAGUUUGUACUUUCAUAUAUACCUUGUGAGAUUCUUCUAUUUAGAAUGUUUAUACAAUAUUAGUUCACUAUUUUUUCACAUAUAUGGCGCUGACCAGUGGAGAAUAGUAUCUUCUAUGCCGAUGGUGCCGACUGUCAUAUUAAUGUUUUCUGGGUGUUUUUGUUACAUUCCAAGAAGAUGAUUAGGCCUUUUAAAGUUUCUUCAUUUUUAAGUAAAAGAAGUAAUUUACUAUAGAUUCUAUAUUUCUAUUAUCCUUUGCUUUUUAUUUGGCCCUGAUUUUACAUGUAAAGCACCUGGUUUUGCUAACUAAUAACAUGGCUUUGAGUAAAAGAAGUGAUUUAUUGUGGAUUCUAUAUUCCUAUUAUCUUUUACUUUUUAUUUGGCCCUGAUUUUACAUGUAAAGCACCUCAUUUCCCUAUGUAACAUGUUACUCCGGCUUGCCAUGACAAGUUUGAUCUGUAUGAGUUGAAUCACAUUUGUUUCUCUUCAUUGUUAGAUAUAUCGUAUGGGGUUAUCUAUUAUUACAAUAAAAUGUUUAAAGAUGAUAUCCCAAUUAAUGAGUAUAAUUUUAUGAGAUGUGUACCUUAGUCAAUAAGCUUCCUACCGAUUGUUAUUUUCAGCAAUGCCAAUAAGUUUACUCAUCAGUUACUUACCUUUCAUGUAGAUAUGCAAUGCAGUUUUUGUUGCAAGAAUUAUGAAUGUUUUGUUGAGGUUUGUUAAUGAAUUUGUUGCUUGAAAUUGGAACUCGUGUACACAGAGAAAGACUCUUCAGGAAACUUGACUCUCUAAUAUAAUUUUUAGUUCAUAAAUCUUGUAUGAUGCUGAGUAUUGCAUUACAGGAGUGGUAAAUUUACAAGUAGUUCGAAAUAUAUUUGUGUAGAUAUAUAGUUUAGUGACCUUAUACUAUGCACAAAAAGUCGGAAUGCUUUAGUUUAUAAGUUGGCCUUCUUUGGCUUCUGCAGGUUUUGUAUUUAAUCUCUGAUCUGUGAUGUGAUGCUCAAUUACAGGGAGAUGACAGAAGUAGAUGAGGCAUAUGAUUUUGUUAAGGUUAGUUGUUUGUUUGGUUUUAAACUGUUGGUUACAUGUAAAUGUUCAAAAAGCUACAUGUAAAUGCCAGUCAGUUUGUGUGUCCAAUUGCUUUGCUGCCUAUAUUCUUUUAUUCUUUGUGUGUAGAGUUUUUCAACUAUUAUCUGUGAAUGACUAACACAACAUCCCAGGUUCUCUCACUAAUAAUACGAGAUAUAUGUCUAGAUUGCACGACCAUGACUUCAAGUGAUCAGAAGAAAAUUUUGAAUCAAGUGCAGAAAUAUAUUUUUCUUUAGUUUAUUAUUUUAUGUGUUAUCUUUGUAUUUUCCACCGCUCGAAUAUGUUACUAUCUUAAAGCCUCCAAAUCUUUGCAAGGGAAAUUAUCAUUUUAAGUUUGGAAUGUCUUAAAGUGAUUUUCUUUGGCGAGGAAGCAAUCAGUGUUUUAAAUUUGUUUUGGAAUAUAUGUUGUGUUACAUUUUGUAUUUUUAUAUUGGUCUGUUGGGAUAGGAGGUUGUUUCUGAAUUGAUAGUCUGUUAGAUGUUCACAGUUUUACAUGUUCUGGCUUAUGUUUUCUUUUGUAUCUUUUUAAAAGAUCCUUUAAACAUGUGGGAUUCUAGUUAAAGGAUUUUCACUCAUAUAAUUUUUUUGAGGAUUAACAUACUUCUUUACAUGUUUACGUUUUGUGUGCCCAAAACCCACUGUCUUUAACUAUCAAUUAGGUGUAGAAACUCGAGUAGUAUUUAUCUCACACUGUGAUCCCUUUUAAAUUUAUAUAUGCCCUGUGUGUUUGCAGGUAGGAGUCUUAGUUUGGUCCCUACUGCAGACAUUAUUAAUUUUGCAAGCAAACUGCUAGAAGAUUUCCGAAGCUGGUAAACGUCGGGCUAGCAUCAGUAGUGUAGCUUCUCUUGACAUGUUAGGUGCAGCCUCAUUAAUUGUACAUCAUGUCAAUGACAAGUUAACUGACCAGCAGAAAUGUCCAGGGAACGUAUUUGGCAAGUGUACUCCCAAAACAUGGGAUGAUCAUGGAAUUUGUAAGAAGUCAAGUAGUCCUUACGUAUUGGGCAAUGAAAGAGAUUGUAUAGUAGCUGAUUUUUGGCUGGUAUAUGUGAUUGUAUGUUGUUACUAUAGUUGAUAAUAAAAACUUUUGUUACUAAUUU